GAUGAACGCUGGCGGCGUGCCUAAUACAUGCAAGUCGAGCGAACAGACGAGGAGCUUGCUCCUCUGACGUUAGCGGCGGACGGGUGAGUAACACGUGGAUAACCUACCUAUAAGACUGGGAUAACUUCGGGAAACCGGAGCUAAUACCGGAUAAUAUAUUGAACCGCAUGGUUCAAUAGUGAAAGACGGUUUUGCUGUCACUUAUAGAUGGAUCCGCGCCGCAUUAGCUAGUUGGUAAGGUAACGGCUUACCAAGGCAACGAUGCGUAGCCGACCUGAGAGGGUGAUCGGCCACACUGGAACUGAGACACGGUCCAGACUCCUACGGGAGGCAGCAGUAGGGAAUCUUCCGCAAUGGGCGAGAGCCUGACGGAGCAACGCCGCGUGAGGGAUGAAGGUCUUCGGAUCGUAAAACUCUGUUAUUAGGGAAGAACAAAUGUGUAAGUAACUAUGCACGUCUUGACGGUACCUAAUCAGAAAGCCCCGGCUAACUACGUG
Molecule: ribosomal RNA, 497 nt
Filed under: uncultured bacterium
Lineage: Bacteria
Description: partial 16S ribosomal RNA
Rfam family: Bacterial small subunit ribosomal RNA
Source: RNAcentral